CAGUGGCGAACGGGUGAGUAACACGUGGGCAAUCUGCCCUGCACUCUGGGACAAGCCCUGGAAACGGGGUCUAAUACCGGAUAUGACCUUCCUCCGCAUGGGGGUUGGUGUAAAGCUCCGGCGGUGCAGGAUGAGCCCGCGGCCUAUCAGCUUGUUGGUGGGGUAAUGGCCUACCAAGGCGACGACGGGUAGCCGGCCUGAGAGGGCGACCGGCCACACUGGGACUGAGACACGGCCCAGACUCCUACGGGAGGCAGCAGUGGGGAAUAUUGCACAAUGGGCGAAAGCCUGAUGCAGCGACGCCGCGUGAGGGAUGACGGCCUUCGGGUUGUAAACCUCUUUCAGCAGGGAAGAAGCGCAAGUGACGGUACCUGCAGAAGAAGCACCGGCUAACUACGUGCCAGCAGCCGCGGUAAUACGUAGGGUGCGAGCGUUGUCCCGGAAUUAUUGGGCGUAAAGAGCUCGUAGGCGGCCUGUCGCGUCGGAUGUGAAAGCCCGGGGCUUAACCCCGGGUCUGCAUUCGAUACGGGCAGGCUAGAGUGNGGUAGGGGAGAUCCGGAAUUCCU
Molecule: ribosomal RNA, 566 nt
Filed under: Streptomyces sp. 384B11
Lineage: Bacteria; Bacillati; Actinomycetota; Actinomycetes; Kitasatosporales; Streptomycetaceae
Description: bacterial SSU rRNA
Rfam family: Bacterial small subunit ribosomal RNA
Source: RNAcentral